This 429-nucleotide ribosomal RNA is filed under the name Chloroflexota bacterium. RNAcentral's name for it is "Chloroflexi bacterium partial 16S ribosomal RNA". It matches the Rfam family "Bacterial small subunit ribosomal RNA", at positions 355 to 776 of the family's 1533-position model. RNAcentral also lists the same sequence under 1 other name. The record is from RNAcentral. Lineage: Bacteria; Bacillati; Chloroflexota.
UAGGGAAUCUUCGGCAAUGGACGAAAGUCUGACCGAGCAACGCCGCGUGAGUGAAGAAGGUUUUCGGAUCGUAAAACUCUGUUGUUAGAGAAGAACAAGGACGUUAGUAACUGAACGUCCCCUGACGGUAUCUAACCAGAAAGCCACGGCUAACUACGUGCCAGCAGCCGCGGUAAUACGUAGGUGGCAAGCGUUGUCCGGAUUUAUUGGGCGUAAAGCGAGCGCAGGCGGUUUCUUAAGUCUGAUGUGAAAGCCCCCGGCUCAACCGGGGAGGGUCAUUGGAAACUGGGAGACUUGAGUGCAGAAGAGGAGAGUGGAAUUCCAUGUGUAGCGGUGAAAUGCGUAGAUAUAUGGAGGAACACCAGUGGUGAAGGCGGCUCUCUGGUCUGUAACUGACGCUGAGGCUCGAAAGCGUGGGGAGCAAACAGG